AAUGAACGCUGGCGGCGUGCGUAACACAUGCAAGUCGAACGAGAAAUUCCGGGCUUGCUCGGGAGAGUAAAGUGGCGAACGGGUAAGUAACGCGUGGGUAACCUGCCCCUGAAUCUGGAAUAACAUCGCGAAAGCGACGCUAAUACCGGAUAUUGUCCCAGGGACUGCGGUCCUUGUGAUGAAAGAUGACCUCUUCACGAAAGUUGUCGUUCAGGGAGGGGCCCGCGUACCAUUAGCUCGUUGGUAGGGUAAUGGCCUACCAAGGCGAAGAUGGUUAGCUGGUCUGAGAGGAGGACCAGCCACACUGGCACUGAAACACGGGCCAGACUCCUACGGGAGGCAGCAGUGAGGAAUUUUGCGCAAUAGGGGAAACCCUGACGCAGCAACGCCGCGUGAGUGAAGAAGGCCUUCGGGUCGUAAAGCUCUGUCAAGUGGGAAAAAAGCUUGUUGGUGAAUAGCCAGCAGGACUGAUGGUACCAUUGAAGGAAGCACCGGCUAACUCCGUGCCAGCCGCCGCCGUAA
RNAcentral lists this ribosomal RNA (522 nucleotides) under uncultured bacterium. RNAcentral's name for it is "partial 16S ribosomal RNA". It matches the Rfam family "Bacterial small subunit ribosomal RNA", at positions 29 to 523 of the family's 1533-position model. The record is from RNAcentral.